CCACUCACAACGCAGGAAAAGUAAUCGAGCAAGAUCGGCUGGAGUCGAUGAGAAACCUUUCACAGCCAUUGAUUGGCUCAUAAGCAUUGAAAGAAAGGCAUCUUGUUGCCGAAUUUAUUGUUGUAUACUUGAUGCUCUGAUGUGGCUGUGACUGAUGCUACUCAUCAGGAGGAAAAUGAGGCUUGUGAUCCAGGAAAUGGCUCGAUAUGUUCAAGUCCGAAGAGCCUGAGGCUGGGACUUAGAUGGAAAACAGCGUUUUGACAAGAGAUGACUGGCUGCUUCAAAUUGAAUUACCAGCACUUAGUGAGAACAACUAACUUAAACAAUAUACGUCUUUUCUGAAGAACUCUUUCUAUAUAUUUCGUUCUUUUUUAUGGGUUUUCUUGUUUUUUCUUUUGUAAAGUUUAUGAAGUUGUACGUUUUAUUUCUCAUAAUGAAUAUUAUUUUGCUUUUUGCUAUUUCUGUCUGGUUACUCGGUAACAUAAACUUUAAAUAAAUGUAUUCCCUCAUCCUAAUUGAAGGGAGACUUUCUGAAGAACAACCCCCAAACUUGAAGUUUUUAUAGCAAUACAUGUAUUUCAAUAUAUGAACAUUAAACAAAUGUAUCGGCUAUAAAACAUGAUAAUAAAACUUAAAAUACUUGUUGAACAAAAGAUGAAUGAACAUUUUCUGUUGUAUUAUGAAUAUUUGAAAAAUGUAUAACUAUCACAUCUCAAGCCUACCAAAGAAAUAUUCAUAAUUUUGCUUUGCUGGGAACUUUUUAGCACAAAAAAACAACAAUUUUUUACCACUUUAUUAUUGCAAAGAUGCUUAUUUUAAUGUUUUACAUUUUUG
This is a long non-coding RNA of Oryzias melastigma (Indian medaka), 834 nucleotides long. RefSeq lists it as uncharacterized. The transcript is spliced from 3 exons. NCBI's taxonomy places the organism in Eukaryota, Metazoa, Chordata, Actinopteri, Beloniformes, Adrianichthyidae. The record is from RefSeq and is a predicted model, not a curated record.